AAAAAUAAAAUAAAUAAGUUAUAAUGAUUACCAAUUUUUUAAUGUUACCCCUUUACUACGUGUGAUAAAGGGGCAAACACAACAUAUUCAUCUACUUAUGUGUUCAAUACCACACAAAAAUAAUAUUGUUUGACCUUAAUACACUAUAAAUUGAUCAAAUCAUAUUCUAUUUCGUAAGACAUAGAAAAAAUAUGGUUAGAACUCUCAAGUUUGUUUAUGUUAUAAUUUUAAUUCUUUCCCUAUUUCUUGUUGCCAAGGGGGGUGGCAGUAAGCAUUUUUUUUAAAACCAUUUUCAAAUUUCCUUCUUUAAUAUUUACUUCACACAUAAUGUUUUAUAUCAUUUUAUUAACAUUAUUUUAUUCUCUUCUUUCAUUGUAGAAAAAAUUUAUUGUGAAAAUGCGGCUAGUUGUCCACGCCUUAUGUAUCCUUUAGUUUAUAAGUGCCUUGACAACAAAUGUGUAAAGUUUAUGAUGAAGUCACGUUUUGUUUGAUAUAAGUAUAUCGCGCCCAAGACGGUACACAAACGCCAUGCAAGGAGGAGUGAGUCCUUGCACUAGCAAAAAAAUCUAUGCAACAUACCUUAUUGUUGUACCGCGUGUUGCCAUUUAAUUUUUUUUACUAGCAUCCAAUAAUUGUAUCUUUUAUAUUUUUCGUUUUAUAACUUCAUGGAUGUUAAAAGUAUGACUCUACAUUCAGAGAUGUUGAUAAUAAAAUGAAAUUAGGCACUAAAUAAUAUUAUAAUUGAAUUGUGUCGUAUCUCUUAUUGACGCAGUACGAAAGCGUAGGCUAGCAAGCGCUAAACCUAAAUUGAAAGAGACAAGUUUGCAACCGACAAACUUGUGAAAAUAGGGUUCCGGAAUCCACCAGAAAUUGAGAAAAACUCACUAAAAUAUUAU
This 896-nucleotide long non-coding RNA is filed under the name Medicago truncatula (barrel medic). Its description in RNAcentral is "long non-coding RNA (MTRU_LNC000141)". Lineage: Eukaryota; Viridiplantae; Streptophyta; Magnoliopsida; Fabales; Fabaceae. The record is from RNAcentral.